GAUGAACGCUGGCGGCGUGCCUAAUACAUGCAAGUCGAGCGAACAGACGAGGAGUUUGCUCCUCUGACGUUAGCGGCGGACGGGUGAGUAACACGUGGAUAACCUACCUAUAAGACUGGGAUAACUUCGGGAAACCGGAGCUAAUACCGGAUAAGAUAUUGAACCGCAUGGUUCAAUAGUGAAAGACGGUUUUGCUGUCACUUAUAGAUGGAUCCGCGCCGCAUUAGCUAGUUGGUAAGGUAACGGCUUACCAAGGCAACGAUGCGUAGCCGACCUGAGAGGGUGAUCGCCCACACUGGAACUGAGCCACGGUCCAGACUCCUACGGGAGGCAGCAGUAGGGAAUCUUCCGCAAUGGGCGAAAGCCUGCCGGAGCAACGCCGCGUGAGUGAUGAAGGUCUUCGGAUCGUAAAACUCUGUUAUUAGGGAAGAACAAAUGUGUAAGUAACUAUGCACGUCUUGACGGUACCUAAUCAGAAAGCCACGGCUAACUACGUG
Molecule: ribosomal RNA, 497 nt
Filed under: uncultured bacterium
Lineage: Bacteria
Description: partial 16S ribosomal RNA
Rfam family: Bacterial small subunit ribosomal RNA
Source: RNAcentral